GAAUAUCUAACACCAAUUGUAAUCUAAAACCAACAGCGACAAAGUGAAUGCAUUCACAUGAAAAAUAACAUAUAAUAUAAGAAAGUUAAAGAUUUAACUUUUCACACCAACUAGAAAGAGAAGUUCAAAUAUUAAUAUCAAUAAAUUAAAAGCAUGUUACAAUAAAAUGAAAACAUCUUAUAUUCAAACUGGCUAUAUUUGAAUUCGCCAAUUAAUCAACUCUUUUAGGAAAAUAGAAAAACAGUGUCAGGACAGUAGGCAUGCCACAACCCUUACUCAGACAAGGAAGUAGUGACAAUCCAACUAGGAGGAGGAAGAAGAAUUAUCCGGAUUCACCAGAAACGAAGUCAAUCACAAAAGCAAAUUUGAAAAAAUUAGGGUACAUGUUUGGGGAUUUUACCAGAUAUUUCAACAGAAAGAUGCAAAUCAGAAAAAUUGACAGCGGACAAGAGAAACACAGCGGCGGAGCAAGCGGAGGAGCAAGCGGCAGAUCAAGCACGGAGGAGCAAGUUGCAGAGCGAAGAGAGAAAAAUGAGAGUUUCAAAACCAAAAAAAUAAGUAAUUGAGAGUAAUUAUAAGUGAGGGCAAAAUUGUAAUAUUAUUUAUUUUAUAAGGUUAUUUUUGGUAAUAUAAAAUAUCUCACUUUCCCAUCAUUUCC
RNAcentral lists this long non-coding RNA (658 nucleotides) under Panax ginseng (ginseng). RNAcentral describes it as "long non-coding RNA (PGIN_LNC014383)". Lineage: Eukaryota; Viridiplantae; Streptophyta; Magnoliopsida; Apiales; Araliaceae. The record is from RNAcentral.